CUCCAUUUUGCAAACGGUUCCGUUGGCUUGAAGAAAUCUGCACUUGAAACCUUCGGUUUUGACUUUUAACGGUCUGCACUGAUUUGGUGUAUGGGAAUCCUACUGACACUCCCACUGAAGAAGAAAAACGAAGUCAGAAAAGUCCUCCACAUGAUCGUAUAAUUCGCCAUGGGGAGGAGGCGGCAAGGAGGUCCAUGGGCUCUAACCUGGGACUAGAGGUCCAGGUGAAGUGGUUUGGCUGGGGUGUGGUGAUAUUGAACCCAUUGAGAGUAUACAGUCAUGUAAUUGGCAGGAAGACAGCACUCAAGUUCUAAUUCAAGUGGUACAAAGUUGCAUGCAAUGUCUCGAGGACUAGUGGCUCUUCAGGUUCUGGGAUUUCAAGCAGCUAUAGUGGGACUGACUCCACGAUGAAUACUUAAUGAAGAUAUUAAUGAAACACUGUUAAAAAAGUGGUGGUAGGCUGUUGAAGAUUAAUUUAGUUAAAUACAUGUAAAUACUGUACCUGUUCUCAUUCAUUCAUGUCAUUAAACAAUGGAAUUGAGUGAUCAGAUGGAUGAGAUUACAUAUUAUGUAGUGUGUAUGUGUCUGCUUUUAAGUGUAUCCACUCUUUACAUGAUACAUUUAUUUAACCAUGCUUAUAUCACAAAUUAUACAAAAGAUUGGUUGAACAAUGGAAGUAGUAUUGUGCAACACUUUAAGAGUAUGUUGAUUGAACAGGCUAAUUUCUCUGUGAUCGAUGAAUGUAACAUAGUUGCAAUUGAAGAACAUGAGUUAGUUCAGUUUUAA
Molecule: long non-coding RNA, 786 nt
Organism: Alosa alosa (allis shad)
Lineage: Eukaryota; Metazoa; Chordata; Actinopteri; Clupeiformes; Clupeidae
Exons: 5
Source: RefSeq, a predicted model, not a curated record